CCUACGGGAGGCAGCAGUAGGGAAUCUUGCGCAAUGGGCGAAAGCCUGACGCAGCCAUGCCGCGUGAAUGAUGAAGGUCUUAGGAUUGUAAAAUUCUUUCACCGGGGACGAUAAUGACGGUACCCGGAGAAGAAGCCCCGGCUAACUUCGUGCCAGCAGCCGCGGUAAUACGAAGGGGGCUAGCGUUGCUCGGAAUUACUGGGCGUAAAGGGAGCGUAGGCGGAUAGUUUAGUCAGAGGUGAAAGCCCAGGGCUCAACCUUGGAACUGCCUUUGAUACUGGCUAUCUUGAGUAUGGGAGAGGUGAGUGGAACUCCGAGUGUAGAGGUGAAAUUCGUAGAUAUUCGGAAGAACACCAGUGGCGAAGGCGACUCACUGGCCCAUUACUGACGCUGAGGCUCGAAAGCGUGGGGAGCAAACAGGAUUAGAUACCCUGGUAGUCCACGCCGUAAACGAUGAGUGCUAGUUGUCGGCAUGCAUGCAUGUCGGUGACGCAGCUAACGCAUUAAGCACUCCGCCUGGGGAGUACGGUCGCAAGNUUAAAACUCAAAGGAAUUGACGG
This 560-nucleotide ribosomal RNA is filed under the name uncultured bacterium. Its description in RNAcentral is "bacterial SSU rRNA". It matches the Rfam family "Bacterial small subunit ribosomal RNA", at positions 338 to 916 of the family's 1533-position model. The record is from RNAcentral.